UUGACUCAUUAUGUGAGACUCAGAGAUGCAACGCUAAAGAUACAGAGUAUGAGGCCGCCGGCGGGCUCGACGCUACGGGCCGGGCCUAGGGCCUAGCACCGCGGCGCCCGCCGAGGCAACGUCAGGGUAUUAUUCGCUGUGGUUUGACCGUUAAGUCUUCUGUAAUGAUCCCUCCGCUGGUUCACCAACGGAGA
RNAcentral lists this unclassified non-coding RNA (194 nucleotides) under uncultured fungus. RNAcentral describes it as "sequence contains ITS1". The record is from RNAcentral. Lineage: Eukaryota; Fungi.